GCCAGCAGCCGCGGUAAUACGAAGGGGGCUAGCGUUGUUCGGAUUUACUGGGCGUAAAGGGCGCGUAGGCGGACUGAUAAGUCAGGGGUGAAAUCCCAAGGCUCAACCUUGGAACUGCCUUUGAUACUGUUUGUCUUGAGUUCGAGAGAGGUAAGUGGAACUGCGAGUGUAGAGGUGAAAUUCGUAGAUAUUCGCAAGAACACCAGUGGCGAAGGCGGCUUACUGGCUCGAAACUGACGCUGAGGCGCGAAAGCGUGGGGAGCAAACAGGAUUAGAUACCCCGGUAGUCCCUGUCUCUUAUA
Molecule: ribosomal RNA, 302 nt
Filed under: uncultured bacterium
Lineage: Bacteria
Description: partial 16S ribosomal RNA
Rfam family: Bacterial small subunit ribosomal RNA
Source: RNAcentral